UGCAAAGGUAGCGCAAUCACUUGCCCCUUAAAUGAGGGCUAGUAUGAACGGUUUAAUGAGGGCCUAACUGUCUCCUGCAGCCGGUCAAUGAAAUUGAUAACCCAGUACAAACGCUGAAAUAAACCCACAAGACGAGAAGACCCUGUGGAACUUUCAACUUCCCUGCUAGCAGUCACCAAUAACCAUACCAACCCUAACAGCCAGUUUAAGUUGGGGCAACUACGGAGAAUAACAAAACCUCCAUGACAUACAAGUAAUACUUGUCACCAAGGCCUACACGCCUACUCACCAACGUUUGAUCCAGUAAUACUGAUUUCCGGACCAAGCUACCCCAGGGAUAACAGCGCUAUCCCCUUCAAGAGUCCCUAUCGCCAAGGGGGUUUACGACCUCGAUGUUGGAUCAGGACACCCCGGCGGUGCAGCCGCUGCCAAAGGUUCGUUUGUUCAACGAAUAACGUCCU
This 461-nucleotide ribosomal RNA is filed under the name Lygodactylus sp. 2 aff. tuberosus. RNAcentral's name for it is "partial 16S ribosomal RNA". It matches the Rfam family "Archaeal large subunit ribosomal RNA", at positions 2026 to 2666 of the family's 2987-position model. Lineage: Eukaryota; Metazoa; Chordata; Lepidosauria; Squamata; Gekkonidae. The record is from RNAcentral.